AAUAGAUACCCCGGUAGUCCACGCCGUAAACGAUGAGUGCUAAGUGUUGGGGGGGUUUCCGCCCCUCAGUGCUGCAGCUAACGCAUUAAGCACUCCGCCUGGGGAGUACGGUCGCAAGACUGAAACUCAAAGGAAUUGACGGGGGCCCGCACAAGCGGUGGAGCAUGUGGUUUAAUUCGAAGCAACGCGAAGAACCUUACCAGGUCUUGACAUCCCGGUGACCACUAUGGAGACAUAGUUUCCCCUUCGGGGGCAACGGUGACAGGUGGUGCAUGGUUGUCGUCAGCUCGUGUCGUGAGAUGUUGGGUUAAGUCCCGCAACGAGCGCAACCCUUAUUCUUAGUUGCCAUCAUUCAGUUGGGCACUCUAAGGAGACUGCCGGUGAUAAACCGGAGGAAGGUGGGGAUGACGUCAAAGUCAUCAUGCCCCUUAUGACCUGGGCUACACACGUGCUACAAUGGACGGUACAAACGGUUGCCAACCCGCGAGGGGGAGCUAAUCCGGAUAAAACCGUUCACAGUUCGGAUUGUAGGCUGCAACUCGCCUACA
RNAcentral lists this ribosomal RNA (548 nucleotides) under uncultured bacterium. Its description in RNAcentral is "bacterial SSU rRNA". It matches the Rfam family "Bacterial small subunit ribosomal RNA", at positions 777 to 1320 of the family's 1533-position model. The record is from RNAcentral.